Molecule: ribosomal RNA, 487 nt
Filed under: uncultured Corynebacterium sp.
Lineage: Bacteria; Bacillati; Actinomycetota; Actinomycetes; Mycobacteriales; Corynebacteriaceae
Description: partial 16S ribosomal RNA
Source: RNAcentral
CACGUAGUUAGCCGGUGCUUCUUAUCCAGGUACCGUCACUGACGCUUCGUCCCUGGCGAAAGGAGUUUACAACCCGAAGGCCGUCAUCCCCCACGCGGCGUCGCUGCAUCAGGCUUGCGCCCAUUGUGCAAUAUUCCCCACUGCUGCCUCCCGUAGGAGUCUGGGCCGUAUCUCAGUCCCAAUGUGGCCGUACACCCUCUCAGGCCGGCUACCCGUCGACGCCUUGGUAGGCCAUUACCCCCACCAACAAGCUGAUAGGCCGCGAGCUCAUCCCACACCGAAAAAACUUUCCACCACACCAUCCAAGACGUGGUCCUAUCUGGUAUUAGACCCAGUUUCCCAGGCUUAUCCCAAAGUGCAGGGCAGAUCACCCACGUGUUACUCACCCGUUCGCCACUCGAGUACCGAAGCAAGCUUCGGCCUUUCCGUUCGACUUGCAUGUGUUAAGCACGCCGCCAGCGUUCAUCCUGAGCCAGGAUCAAACUCU